RNAcentral lists this ribosomal RNA (779 nucleotides) under Staphylococcus sp. RNAcentral describes it as "bacterial SSU rRNA". It matches the Rfam family "Bacterial small subunit ribosomal RNA", at positions 56 to 818 of the family's 1533-position model. The record is from RNAcentral. Lineage: Bacteria; Bacillati; Bacillota; Bacilli; Caryophanales; Staphylococcaceae.
UGCAGUCGAGCGAACAGACGAGGAGCUUGCUCCUCUGACGUUAGCGGCGGACGGGUGAGUAACACGUGGAUAACCUACCUAUAAGACUGGGAUAACUUCGGGAAACCGGAGCUAAUACCGGAUAACAUGUUGAACCGCAUGGUUCAACAGUGAAAGACGGUCUUGCUGUCACUUAUAGAUGGAUCCGCGCCGCAUUAGCUAGUUGGUAAGGUAACGGCUUACCAAGGCAACGAUGCGUAGCCGACCUGAGAGGGUGAUCGGCCACACUGGAACUGAGACACGGUCCAGACUCCUACGGGAGGCAGCAGUAGGGAAUCUUCCGCAAUGGGCGAAAGCCUGACGGAGCAACGCCGCGUGAGUGAAGAAGGUCUUCGGAUCGUAAAACUCUGUUAUUAGGGAAGAACAAAUGUGUAAGUAACUAUGCACGUCUUGACGGUACCUAAUCAGAAAGCCACGGCUAACUACGUGCCAGCAGCCGCGGUAAUACGUAGGUGGCAAGCGUUAUCCGGAAUUAUUGGGCGUAAAGCGCGCGUAGGCGGUUUUUUAAGUCUGAUGUGAAAGCCCACGGCUCAACCGUGGAGGGUCAUUGGAAACUGGAAAACUUGAGUGCAGAAGAGGAAAGUGGAAUUCCAUGUGUAGCGGUGAAAUGCGCAGAGAUAUGGAGGAACACCAGUGGCGAAGGCGACUUUCUGGUCUGUAACUGACGCUGAUGUGCGAAAGCGUGGGGAUCAAACAGGAUUAGAUACCCUGGUAGUCCACGCCGUAAACGAUGAGUGCUA